AUACGUAGGGGGCAAGCGUUAUCCGGAUUUACUGGGUGUAACGGGAGCGUAGACGGCAAAGCAAGUCUGAAGUGACAGCCCCGGGCUCAACCCGGGAAUUGCUUUGGAAACUGUUUAGCUGGAGUGCAGGAGAGGUAAGCGGAAUUCCUAGUGUAGCGGUGAAAUGCGUAGAUAUUAGGAGGAACACCGGCGGCGAAGGCGGCUUACUGGACUGUAACUGACGUUGAGGCUCGAAAGCGUGGGGAGCAAACAGGAUUAGAUACCCUGGUAGUCCACACCGUAAACGAUGAUUACUAGGUGUUGGUUGUCACAGACAAUCGGUGCCGCAGCAAACGCAAUAAGUAAUCCACCUGGGGAGUACGUUCGCAAGAAUGAAACUCAAAUGAAUCGACGGGG
This 396-nucleotide ribosomal RNA is filed under the name uncultured bacterium. Its description in RNAcentral is "partial 16S ribosomal RNA". It matches the Rfam family "Bacterial small subunit ribosomal RNA", at positions 523 to 918 of the family's 1533-position model. The record is from RNAcentral.